Molecule: non-coding RNA, 136 nt
Organism: Triticum aestivum (bread wheat)
Lineage: Eukaryota; Viridiplantae; Streptophyta; Magnoliopsida; Poales; Poaceae
Source: Rfam
UAUAUACUCCCUCCGUCCGGAAAUACUUGUCAUCAAAAUGGAUAAAAGGUGAUGCAUCUAGAUAUAUUUUAGUUCUAGAUAUAUCUUUUUUUUAUCCAUUUUGAUGACAAGUAUUUUCAGACGGAGGGAGUAGAUA